UAACAAGGAUUCCCCUAGUAGCGGCGAGCGAAGCGGGAAGAGCUCAAAUUUAUAAUCUGGCACCUUCGGUGUCCGAGUUGUAAUCUCUAGAAGUGUUUUCCGCGUUGGACCGCACACAAGUCUGUUGGAAUACAGCGGCAUAGUGGUGAAACCCCCGUAUAUGGUGCGGACGCCCAGCGCUUUGUGAUACACUUUCAAUGAGUCGAGUUGUUUGGGAAUGCAGCUCAAAUUGGGUGGUAAAUUCCAUCUAAAGCUAAAUAUUGGCGAGAGACCGAUAGCGAACAAGUACCGUGAGGGAAAGAUGAAAAGCACUUUGGAAAGAGAGUUAACAGUACGUGAAAUUGUUGGAAGGGAAACGCUUGAAGUCAGACUUGCUUGCCGGAGCUUGCUUCGGUUUGCAGGCCAGCAUCAGUUUUUCGGGGUGGAUAAUGACGGUUUGAAGGUAGCAGUCUCGGCUGUGUUAUAGCUUUCCGUUGGAUACAUCCUGGGGGACUGAGGAACGCAGCGUGCUUUUUGCGAAAGACUCGUCUUUUUCACGCUUAGGAUGCUGGUKGAAUGGCUUAAC
This 565-nucleotide ribosomal RNA is filed under the name Rhodotorula babjevae. RNAcentral describes it as "LSU rRNA". It matches the Rfam family "Eukaryotic large subunit ribosomal RNA", at positions 66 to 643 of the family's 3401-position model. Lineage: Eukaryota; Fungi; Basidiomycota; Microbotryomycetes; Sporidiobolales; Sporidiobolaceae. The record is from RNAcentral.